CCCUUUUUAAUCAACCAAUUUUUUUCCCAAAAAGGGGGCCCUGAACUCCUGACCCCCCCUUUUUUCCUCAUUUCAAUCACCCUGAUAUAAAUUUAGUUUUAUCACUUACAAUAGGAAUGGUUAGAAUUCCCCAAUAAUUCUUAUACAUAUAUACCAUUGAUAUCAACAUAUUUCAUUUUUGAUAAAUGAAAGGCAAAAGUUUUCUAUGGGUAGAAAAGGAUAGUGGGAAGCUUUCAGAUUCACACCAUGCCGGUGGCUGGGUUUUUAUGACCCUCGUUCUUUGCGGACUAACUAUUUAGGCCAGUGGUGGAUAAUAGUGUGCGUGCAUUAAUCUUCUAUACCUUCUUAAUCAAUAUAUUCAAAUACUGACGGCAAGUGUUGUAAUGUAUCAAUGUCAUCAAUGUCUUAUUUGAGACCACCGUGCUAUUUACAUGUGGGAUCGAGAAUGCAGGGGAAGGAAACUUGUCAAUUAUGUUUAUUUUUAAGCCAAAAUAAAAUGAGCCGCCGUAAAAUUAACCUUGGGUAAUCCUCAAAUUGAUACAAGAGGCUUUACGGGCUGACUACUAAAUACAUGUCUUAAUCUCAAAAUAACUCGGCAGCGUCAAAUAACAGUUGAUGUAAGGCUCGUCUCGGAAAAGGGGGGGGGGGGGUGUCUUUUUUUCUGUCUUCUUUUUUUUAGUUAUAUUUUUAAAAACUUACACUUUUUUCCAUUAUACUCUUUCUUUCACUAUUCUUUAUUCCUUUUUUUUUCUUUGUACUUUGUUCUCUAUUCUGUUAAUUAACAUCCAUACCCUCUUAUGUGGACUUACGGUAGUUUAUUUUUUAGUUCUGGCAGAGAUAUUAGAUACAAUACAGUGGCGGAUCCAGAAAUUUUCAUAAGUGGGGGCCCACUGACUGGCCUAAGAGGGGGCCCGCUCCAGUCACGCUUCAUUGAUUCCCUAUAUAAGCAACCACAUUUUUUUCUCAAAAAGGGGGGGGGGCGGGCCCUGGCCCCCUAAAUCCGCCUCUGCAAUAUAUAUAUGUCU
Molecule: long non-coding RNA, 1025 nt
Filed under: Mytilus galloprovincialis (Mediterranean mussel)
Lineage: Eukaryota; Metazoa; Mollusca; Bivalvia; Mytilida; Mytilidae
Source: RNAcentral